GAUGAACGCUGGCGGCGUGCCUAAUACAUGCAAGUCGAGCGAACAGACGAGGAGCUUGCUCCUCUGACGUUAGCGGCGGACGGGUGAGUAACACGUGGAUAACCUACUUAUAUGACUGGGAUAACUUCGGGAAACCGGAGCUAAUCCCGGAUAAUAUAUUGAACCGCAUGGUUCAAUAGUGAAAGACGGUUUUGCGGUCACUUAUCGAGGGUUCUGCGCCGCAUUGGCUGGUUGGUAAGGUAACGGCUUACCAAGGCAACGAUGCGUAGCCGACCUGAGAGAGUGAUCGGCCACACUGGAGCGUGAACACGGUCCAGACUCCUACGGGAGGCACCAGUAGGGAAUCUUCCGCAAUGGGCGAAAGCCUGACGGAGCAACGCGGCGUGAGUGAUGAAGGUCUUCGGAUCGUAAAACUCUGUUAUUAGGGAAAAACAAAUGUGUAAGGAACUAUACACGUCUUGACGGUACCUAAUCAGAAAGCCACGGCUAACUACGUG
RNAcentral lists this ribosomal RNA (497 nucleotides) under uncultured bacterium. RNAcentral's name for it is "partial 16S ribosomal RNA". It matches the Rfam family "Bacterial small subunit ribosomal RNA", at positions 28 to 507 of the family's 1533-position model. The record is from RNAcentral.